GAUGAACGCUAGCUACAGGCUUAACACAUGCAAGCCGAGGGACCGGCGCACGGGUGAGUAACACGUAUCCAACCUGCCCUUUACUCCGGGAUAGCCUUUCGAAAGAAAGAUUAAUACCCGAUAUAAAGGAUGGGGAUGCGUUCCAUUAGGUUGUUGGUGGGGUAACGGCCCACCAAGCCUUCGAUGGAUAGGGGUUCUGAGAGGAAGGUCCCCCACAUUGGAACUGAGUCACGGUCCAAACUCCUACAGGAGGCAGCAGUGCGGAAUGUUGGUGAAUGGGCGUUAGCCUGAACCAGCCAAGUAGCGUGAAGAAUGAAGGCUUAUGGGUCGUAAACUUCUUUUAUAUAAGAAUAUGUAUUAUAUGAAUGAGGAUCGGCUAACUCCGUGCCCGCAGCCGCGGUAAUAC
This 406-nucleotide ribosomal RNA is filed under the name uncultured bacterium. RNAcentral describes it as "partial 16S ribosomal RNA". It matches the Rfam family "Bacterial small subunit ribosomal RNA", at positions 28 to 526 of the family's 1533-position model. The record is from RNAcentral.